CCAAUGCUGACUGCUGCCGGAUGCUUACAGCACCUGGCGCUUUAAGAGGCCAAGCAGCCAUCAGGAGCAGCCUGCAGAUGAGGAAACAAGGCUCACAGAAGUGAAGAACCUGGACAGAUGGGUGUAUGGAUGCGUGCCUGCUAGAGGUUGAUAGACCUCCUACGUAGAGCUUUAAACUAGCUUCAUCGGGGGACGGAAAUGUUGAAGACAGGGUGAAACUAGGAAAGACAAGACAUGAACUGUAUGCUGGAAUAGACCAGUAGGUGCAUCACGAGCAGGUCUAGGGAGGUUAUACUUCCCUUCUACGAGGCAUUGGUGAGGCUGCAGCUGGAGUACUGCGUCCAGUUUUGGGCACUGCACUUCAAGAGGGAUUCAAAAAACCUGGAAAGGGUUCAGAGGAGGGCUACUUGUAUGGUUGAGGGC
This is a long non-coding RNA of Alligator mississippiensis (American alligator), 423 nucleotides long. RefSeq lists it as uncharacterized. The record is from RefSeq and is a predicted model, not a curated record. The transcript has 4 exons. Lineage: Eukaryota; Metazoa; Chordata; Crocodylia; Alligatoridae.